GAAGGGUGCAAGCGUUAUUCGGAAUUAUUGGGCGUAAAGGGUGUGUAGACGGCAUGUUAAGUCAACUGUUAAAUUUUUCGGCCUAACCGAAAGCCUGCAGUAGAUACUGGCAUACUAGAGGGUGGAAGAGAGAAGUGGAAUUCUCGGAGUAGCGGUAAAAUGCGUAGAUCUCGAGAGGAACACCGAUGGCGAAGGCAGCUUCUUGGUCCACUCCUGACGUUGAGACACGAAAGCGUGGGGAGCAAACAGGAUUAGAUACCCUGGUAGUCCACGCUGUAAACGAUGAUCACUAGACGUCAGCUCUGUUUUACGGAGUUGGUGUCGUAGCUAACGCGCUAAGUGAUCCGCCUGGGACUACGGUCGCAAGACUA
RNAcentral lists this ribosomal RNA (371 nucleotides) under uncultured organism. Its description in RNAcentral is "partial 16S ribosomal RNA". It matches the Rfam family "Bacterial small subunit ribosomal RNA", at positions 527 to 896 of the family's 1533-position model. The record is from RNAcentral.